Molecule: non-coding RNA, 21 nt
Filed under: Xenopus tropicalis (tropical clawed frog)
Lineage: Eukaryota; Metazoa; Chordata; Amphibia; Anura; Pipidae
Also listed under: 3 other names
Source: RNAcentral
CUGUGCGUGUGACAGCGGCUA